UUAGUCAAAGCCAAAGAGAGGCAUACCACUGUUAAUGGUUGAAAUGAAGAUUACUUCUGACUAAA
Molecule: transfer RNA, 65 nt
Filed under: Typhlatya garciai
Lineage: Eukaryota; Metazoa; Arthropoda; Malacostraca; Decapoda; Atyidae
Description: tRNA-Asn
Source: RNAcentral